RNAcentral lists this ribosomal RNA (207 nucleotides) under uncultured Burkholderiales bacterium. RNAcentral describes it as "partial 16S ribosomal RNA". It matches the Rfam family "Bacterial small subunit ribosomal RNA", at positions 568 to 774 of the family's 1533-position model. Lineage: Bacteria; Pseudomonadati; Pseudomonadota; Betaproteobacteria; Burkholderiales. The record is from RNAcentral.
UGCGCAGGCGGUUAUGUAAGACAGAUGUGAAAUGCCCGGGCUCAACCUGGGAAUUGCAUUUGUGACUGCAUAGCUAGAGUGUGUCAGAGGGGGGUAGAAUUCCACGUGUAGCAGUGAAAUGCGUAGAUAUGUGGAGGAAUACCGAUGGCGAAGGCAGCCCCCUGGGACAACACUGACGCUCAUGCACGAAAGCGUGGGGAGCAAACA